Long non-coding RNA from Falco peregrinus (peregrine falcon), 2339 nucleotides. RefSeq lists it as uncharacterized. NCBI's taxonomy places the organism in Eukaryota, Metazoa, Chordata, Aves, Falconiformes, Falconidae. The record is from RefSeq and is a predicted model, not a curated record. The transcript is spliced from 2 exons.
GUAGCUCGCAGAGCUUUACCCACAAACUGCCAAACAUUUGCUGCUGCGUCUAGCAAGCCAGCACAAGUCAGUCUUUUACUAAACCGCCUGGGUCUCCCUGACUAUUUGCAUAUUUCCAGGUGAAGCGUGAAGCAAAAUCAGACCACGUUAUGCUCACCCUGCAGAAUAUUUGCUGAGAAGAUUCGUUUCCUGGAAACUGGCCAGAAUCCAGUGAUGCUCAUAGUAAAGCACAUGUCAGGACAUUUUAAAAGCACUGCAACAUUAGCAUGAUGAUCAUGGAGAUCAUUUGCCAAUGGCAAACUCUACAGCUGAAUCCAAUCAGGGCUGUGAAAAGGUCCUUUCAGCCUCCUCUGACUCAUAAUAAUAAUUCAGGGUUAGAUUUUGCAUUUGGCUGUGGCUUUUAAUAGAGGGUUGUGGAGAGCUGCACCUGCCGGAGCUCUGUGCCGGCCCAGGGAAGGGGGAUGGAUCAGUCGGAAACAUUUCAAAUGUUUGUCACGUGCCUUUCCAGCUCACCAAGUAGUGCUGCACUGUGGGGAUGCCUUUUCCUCUCCUGUGCUUCCCAGCUUGUACACGGUGUACCCAAGGGAGAAAGAGACUCCAACACCCCCUUGGCACGGUCCACAUGUUCCACACUCACUUCCCAGGGACAGAGCUAAGGGUGUCUAGUCUCUUCCCUUCCUGCUCUGCAGAGCUUUCAGUUUGGCUGAGUUUAGGACAGUGGCUAAACACAAGGUAAUCUUAUAGCCUGUGCCAGUGUUUGAUUAUUUUUUGCCAGUGAAUCAUUAUUAAAUUAGUUUGGGUUAGCUAACAGACUGUGGGAGCAGUGGCAAUCAAAUACAGGGAGGAUAGAAAAAAUAUCUCCUUAUGUGGGAGUGUGAAUUGGGGACUGUCCACAGCAUGAAAUAACCAGGCUGAUCACACAGUCCAGCAUACCAAGGGAAGGACAGAGCAGGGGAAAGCUCAGAAUCUCCAUUAAACUUGCCUCAUUAAUUCCUCCAAGUCUGGAGGUGCCAUCCUGCCUGCCCACAGCUAGUCCGAAGAGUCCACAGAGCAGCUACAGCAUCAGAGCAGAUCUGUCCUGCCUCUAGCUACUCUACAACCCCAGAGUGGAAGGGGAGCAAAUCAGGAGGAUUGAAUUUUAUUAACUUUCUCUCCUUUUGUCCCAGCUCAGGACAGAAAUAACAAGCACCACUUUGGACAGACCAACUAUCAAUGUCAUACUGAUGCCUCUGUGUAAUUUAAAAGGAAUUAAGUUACCACUUGAAACACCUUACUGUGUUGUUUGGUGACCGAAAUGUGUCCCCAUUCUGUCUUCCUGAUCAAGAUCUUGAUUUAAUAAAGGUUAAAAAAAAAAUAAAUCUGCAUUCCCAUCUCCUAAAAAUGUGCUAAAGGAAGCAGAAAGUAGAAGGGAAAACACUGAUGUCUGCAAGAGUUUCUUAGUUGCUAUUGAGUGCCUGGUAUUGCAGAGCCAUGUUGUAAAGGCUUCUGCACCCACAGGUGACUUCCAACUGAUUCUGACUCACUGAGCACUAAAAUUUAGACAAAUUUCCUCCCCUUCCUCAUAGAAAUAAUAAUGACAAACUGAUGGGUAUUCUGCAUAGGAACUUCAUUCCAGAAGAGGAAUGGUCUUGUAAGAAAACAUGUGUUCAGGCCAGAAAGCAUUUUGCAGAUAUCUCCUGAUAUGCUUGUGACAAGCCCUCUGCAGUAAACAGCCAUUGCACAGGUGGAGACAUACCGUGUCAUAUGGGCUGGUGUCCUGCCUGUCUGCAGAGACCUAGGCCUAAACACUGCGAGCAUCCCAGUACCACCAGGGGCCUGACCCAGCAGGACCAGAGUUAAGCCCAUGGAUGAGCCCUGGGAGUUCUGGAGUGCCUUGAGGGACUGGUGCUGAGACGUGGCCCAUGUGGAGGCUGAUGGAUGCCCGGGCUGAAUGAGCCAGCUGAUUGCUGCUAAAGGCUUUGGCCGGAUGAGUGCACAAGGCAGCACUAUUUAUUUCAUUUGAAUAAUACAUGACUAAUAAGUUAAAUAAGAGAAAGCAGAAUGAGCUUUCCGGUUAAGCCAAAAAUGUCUGAUGGUUGUUUCCUGGGCAUUUUGGGUCUCUGGGAAGCUUUGAAGUGGCCCUAAUGAACUUGCCAAUGUAGAUAAUGUAAAAUAUUUUAAUGAUUAUCCGGCAGUGCUGUCUAUGAUAUAUAAUCUGAAAUGUUUAGAAGAGAUGAAACUGUCCUCUCUAAAUGGCUGUUUGAUGCUGACUAAAAUGGUGCAAAUUCUGUUGCAAAGGUGGUUUAUGAAAACGCUUCAACGUAACUUGCUUUUAAUUAAAUUGUCCUGAUUGAGCUAUC